Molecule: transfer RNA, 73 nt
Filed under: Acidimicrobiaceae bacterium
Lineage: Bacteria; Bacillati; Actinomycetota; Acidimicrobiia; Acidimicrobiales; Acidimicrobiaceae
Also listed under: 2 other names
Description: tRNA-Met
Rfam family: tRNA
About the family: Transfer RNA (tRNA) molecules are approximately 80 nucleotides in length. Their secondary structure includes four short double-helical elements and three loops (D, anti-codon, and T loops). Further hydrogen bonds mediate the characteristic L-shaped molecular structure. tRNAs have two regions of fundamental functional importance: the anti-codon, which is responsible for specific mRNA codon recognition, and the 3' end, to which the tRNAs corresponding amino acid is attached (by aminoacyl-tRNA synthetases). tRNAs cope with the degeneracy of the genetic code in two manners: having more than one tRNA (with a specific anti-codon) for a particular amino acid; and 'wobble' base-pairing, i.e. permitting non-standard base-pairing at the 3rd anti-codon position.
Source: RNAcentral
GGGGCGGUAGCUCAGUGGUCAGAGCGCGGCACUCAUAAUGCCUUGGUCGUGGGUUCGAUCCCCACCCGCCCUA